Molecule: ribosomal RNA, 492 nt
Filed under: uncultured bacterium
Lineage: Bacteria
Description: partial 16S ribosomal RNA
Rfam family: Bacterial small subunit ribosomal RNA
Source: RNAcentral
AGUGAACGCUGGCGGUAGGCCUAACACAUGCAAGUCGAACGGCAGCACAGUAAGAGCUUGCUCUUACGGGUGGCGAGUGGCGGACGGGUGAGGAAUACAUCGGAAUCUACUUUUUCGUGGGGGAUAACGUAGGGAAACUUACGCUAAUACCGCAUACGACCUACGGGUGAAAGCAGGGGAUCUUCGGACCUUGCGCGAUUGAAUGAGCCGAUGUCGGAUUAGCUAGUUGGCGGGGUAAAGGCCCACCAAGGCGACGAUCCGUAGCUGGUCUGAGAGGAUGAUCAGCCACACUGGAACUGAGACACGGUCCAGACUCCUACGGGAGGCAGCAGUGGGGAAUAUUGGACAAUGGGCGCAAGCCUGAUCCAGCCAUACCGCGUGGGUGAAGAAGGCCUUCGGGUUGUAAAGCCCUUUUGUUGGGAAAGAAAAGCAGCAGGUUAAUACCCCGCUGUUCCGACGGUACCCAAAGAAUAAGCACCGGCUAACGUCGUG